RNAcentral lists this ribosomal RNA (253 nucleotides) under uncultured bacterium. RNAcentral describes it as "partial 16S ribosomal RNA". It matches the Rfam family "Bacterial small subunit ribosomal RNA", at positions 524 to 776 of the family's 1533-position model. The record is from RNAcentral.
UACGGAGGAUGCAAGCGUUAUCCGGAAUGAUUGGGCGUAAAGCGUCCGCAGGUGGCAAUGUAAGUCUGCUGUCAAAGCGUCUGGCUCAACCAGAUAAAGGCAGUGGAAACUACAUAGCUAGAGUAAGGUAGGGGUAGAGGGAAUUCCUGGUGUAGCGGUGAAAUGCGUAGAGAUCAGGAAGAACACCGGUGGCGAAAGCGCUCUGCUAGGCCGCAACUGACACUGAGGGACGAAAGCUAGGGGAGCGAAUGGG